RNAcentral lists this ribosomal RNA (497 nucleotides) under uncultured bacterium. RNAcentral's name for it is "partial 16S ribosomal RNA". It matches the Rfam family "Bacterial small subunit ribosomal RNA", at positions 28 to 507 of the family's 1533-position model. The record is from RNAcentral.
GAUGAACGCUGGCGGCGUGCCUAAUACAUGCCAGUCGAGCGAACGGACGAGAAGCUUGCUUCUCUGAUGUUAGCGGCGGACGGGUGAGUAACACGUGGAUAACCUACCUAUAAGACUGGGAUAACUUCGGGAAACCGGAGCUAAUACCGGAUAAUAUUUUGAACCGCAUGGUUCAAAAGUGAAAGACGGUCUUGCUGUCACUUAUAGAUGGAUCCGCGCUGCAUUAGCUAGUUGGUAAGGUAACGGCUUACCAAGGCAACGAUGCAUAGCCGACCUGAGAGGGUGAUCGGCCACACUGGAACUGAGACACGGUCCAGACUCCUACGGGAGGCAGCAGUAGGGAAUCUUCCGCAAUGGGCGAAAGCCUGACGGAGCAACGCCGCGUGAGUGAUGAAGGUCUUCGGAUCGUAAAACUCUGUUAUUAGGGAAGAACAUAUGUGUAAGUAACUGUGCACAUCUUGACGGUACCCAAUCAGAAAGCCACGGCUAACUACGUG